RNAcentral lists this ribosomal RNA (505 nucleotides) under uncultured bacterium. RNAcentral describes it as "partial 16S ribosomal RNA". It matches the Rfam family "Bacterial small subunit ribosomal RNA", at positions 28 to 507 of the family's 1533-position model. The record is from RNAcentral.
GACGAACGCUGGCGGCGUGCCUAAUACAUGCAAGUAGAACGCACAGUUUAUACCGUAGCUUGCUACACCAUAGACUGUGAGUUGCGAACGGGUGAGUAACGCGUAGGUAACCUGCCUGGUAGCGGGGGACAACUAUUGGAAACGCUAGCUAAUACCGCAUAAUAUUAAUUAUUGCAUGAUAAUUAAUUUAAAGGUGCAAUUGCACCACUACCAGAUGGACCUGCGUUGUAUUAGCUAGUAGGUGGGGUAACGGCCCACCUAGGCGACGAUACAUAGCCGACCUGGGAGGGUGGUCGGCCACACUGGGACUGGGACACGGCCCAGACUCCUACGGGAGGCAGCAGUAGGGAAUCUUUGGCAAUGGACGAAAGUCUGACCGAGCAACGCCGCGUGAGUGAAGAAGGUUUUCGGAUCGUAAAGGUCUGUUGUAAGAGAAGAACGGGUGUGAGAGUGGAAAGUUCACACUGUGACGGUAUCUGACCAGAAAGGGACGGCUAACUACGUG